UUAAGUUCAGCGGGUAUCCCUACCUGAUCCGAGGUCAAACUAAGGUGUGGUUGCUUCCCUGGCGGGCGCCGCCGCGAGCUCCUAAGCGGAAUCUUACUACGCUUAGAGCCGGAUGGUGCCGCCGACGAGUUACGGGCGGUCCCUGAGGACCGGCGCCCAAGACCAAGCGGUGCUUGAGGGUUUGCAAUGACGCUCGAACA
RNAcentral lists this unclassified non-coding RNA (200 nucleotides) under Dothideomycetes sp. RNAcentral describes it as "partial internal transcribed spacer 2". The record is from RNAcentral. Lineage: Eukaryota; Fungi; Ascomycota; Dothideomycetes.